ACCCUGUAUAACCGAGUUUGUG
RNAcentral lists this microRNA (22 nucleotides) under Cordylochernes scorpioides. The record is from RNAcentral. Lineage: Eukaryota; Metazoa; Arthropoda; Arachnida; Pseudoscorpiones; Chernetidae.